RNAcentral lists this ribosomal RNA (505 nucleotides) under uncultured bacterium. Its description in RNAcentral is "partial 16S ribosomal RNA". It matches the Rfam family "Bacterial small subunit ribosomal RNA", at positions 28 to 507 of the family's 1533-position model. The record is from RNAcentral.
GACGAACGCUGGCGGCGUGCCUAAUACAUGCAAGUAGAACGCACAGUUUAUACCGUAGCUUGCUACACCAUAGACUGUGAGUUGCGAACGGGUGAGUAACGCGUAGGUAACCUGCCUGGUAGCGGGGGAUAACUAUUGUAAACGAUAGCUAAUACCGCAUAAUAUUAAUUAUUGCAUGAUAAUUAAUUGAAAGGAGCAAUUGCACCACUACCAGAUGGACCUGCGUUGUAUUAGCUAGUAGGUGAGGUAACGGCUCACCUAGGCGACGAUACAUAGCCGACCUGGGAGCGUGAUCGGCCACACUGGGAGUGGGACGCCGCCCAGACUCCUACGGGACGCAGCAGUAGGGAAUAUUCGGCAAUGGACGGGAGUCUGACCGAGCAACGCCGCGUGAGUGAAGGAGGUUCUCGGAUCGUAAAGCUCGGUUGUAAGGGAAGAACGGGUGUGAGAGUGGAAAGUUCACACUGUGACGGUAUCUUAACAGAAAGGGACGGCUAACUACGUG